Molecule: small nucleolar RNA, 126 nt
Filed under: Nannospalax galili (Upper Galilee mountains blind mole rat)
Lineage: Eukaryota; Metazoa; Chordata; Mammalia; Rodentia; Spalacidae
Description: Small nucleolar RNA SNORA31 (ENSNGAG00000004443.1)
Rfam family: Small nucleolar RNA SNORA31
About the family: ACA31 (SNORA31) belongs to the H/ACA class of snoRNAs which are thought to guide the sites of modification of uridines to pseudouridines. ACA31 is predicted to guide the pseudouridylation of U3713 in 28S rRNA and U218 in 18S rRNA. This family includes the mouse homologue snoMBI-161.
Source: Rfam by way of RNAcentral
CUGCAUCCACUGCUAGUCCUUGAACAAUUUGUGGUUGUUCUUCAGGUUUGCACUAGGAUGCAAAAGAAAAUACUCUCUGGGCUUUCUGUCUUUGUGGCUGUCCAGAUUGAAUUGGGGAGUACAUAU